This 253-nucleotide ribosomal RNA is filed under the name uncultured bacterium. Its description in RNAcentral is "partial 16S ribosomal RNA". It matches the Rfam family "Bacterial small subunit ribosomal RNA", at positions 524 to 776 of the family's 1533-position model. The record is from RNAcentral.
UACGUAGGGUGCAAGCGUUGUCCGGAAUUAUUGGGCGUAAAGCGCGCGUAGGCGGCCAGAUAAGUCCGGUGUGAAAGUCAAAGGCUCAACCUUUGAAUGCCGCUGGAAACUGCCUGGCUUGAGUCCGGAAGGGGCGAGUGGAAUUCCUGGUGUAGCGGUGAAAUGCGCAGAUAUCAGGAGGAACACCGAUGGCGAAGGCAGGUCUCUGGGCCAUAACUGACGCUGAGAAGCGAAAGCAUGGGGAGCGAACAGG